This is a long non-coding RNA of Piliocolobus tephrosceles (Ugandan red Colobus), 1973 nucleotides long. NCBI's taxonomy places the organism in Eukaryota, Metazoa, Chordata, Mammalia, Primates, Cercopithecidae. The record is from Ensembl.
CUCCUUCUAGCACUUUUUUGUAAAAAUACAUUUUUUUCGUAAUAUUUAAAAAGUUAUGAAUUGUUCUUUUUUCUUUUAUAUAAAACUGUUUUCAAAAUGUAUAAUAGUCAAGUAUGUUUGUUUUUGUCACUCAACAGAGAUGUACAACAAGACGAAAAACAUAACAAUCGUACUAGUAGUAAUUUUAACAGUAAUAAAAAUAUACCAUGUUAUAACUAUAUAAGCUUGACAGCUAAUAUAGAUUUACAAACUUUGAAAAAGUUAAAUAACCUAGUUACAAAUAAUAAUAUUCUAUUAAUAGACAUUUUGUUAAAUAUUUAUUAUAACUUAACGAUAAAUAAAAAUAUCAAUUUUAAAACUUUUGUAAAAAAUUUUCGCAAUUUUUGUUAUCUACAUGAAUAUGUUAAAUAUAUAAAACAAAUAAAAAAAGAGGAAAAUGCAGAAAAAGGGGAAGAGGCAAUAAAUGAGGAAGUGGCAAUAAAUGAGGAAAAAGAAGGAGAAAAGGGUAAAGGAAAAGGCAAAGACGAAAAGGGUAAAGGAAAAGGCAAAGACGAAAAGGGUAAAAGCAAAGGCGAAGAAAAAGAGAAAAAGAAAAAACAAAAAAACGACAAAUGUUCAAUAAGUAAAACAAAAAAAAAGACAUAUUAUUUAUACUUCUAUGAAAACACUAAUUUUAUAAAAAAUGAACAUAUAGAAAACGACGAUCUCGAUUUAAAAAAAUAUUUAAACAAUUAUUAUGACAACAAUAUUAUACCAAAACAACACAUGCUCAAUUUUAGAUCAAGAAAUAUGGCAUAUUCUUAUAAAAAGUUGAUCACAGUCAACAAACAGAGUGAUGCGAAAAAUGGAUUAUGUAGUACUGAGUUAGUACAAAAACAAAAUAAAACAUAUGACCAUGAUUUUGUUGAUUACAUAUAUUCGGAAAAAAAAAAAGAAAAAAAAAGAAAAAAAAAAAGAAAAUCUCUAUACGCUGUAUAUACUAGCGCGCUCUUAAAUCAAUGUAAAAAACUAUAUAAAAAAAUUAUUCAAAAUAAUAAAGAAAAAAACAAUUAUAAUGUUGUAACUAUUUUUUUUAAAAAUUUAAGUUUUAGUAAUUUUAUUAAAAUCAUAUAUUUUUUAUGUAAAUCCAAAUAUGAACAUGUUUGGAAAUAUUUAAAAAAAAAAAAAAUAAAUAAUAAAAAAAAAAGUAGCUUGGUAAAUAAAAUGGAAGCUAUACAUAUAAAUAAGUUGAAAAGUAAAAAUAUAGCUGUUUAUAAAAAAAUUACAAAAAAUGUAUACAACGAAUGGAAUAGUACAUCAUGCUUUGAAUUUUUGCAAUAUAUAAUAAAUGAAAAAGACACAACAUACUUUACAAAUUUGUUAAAAAAAAGAAAUAAAAAAAACUUAAUUGACUUAUAUAAAUUAAUACACAUGUUAGUACUACUAAAAUGGGAUAAAUCAAUAUUAUUGCUCUUAUAUAUAUUUCAAAAAAAAAUAAAAACCAAUAACAGCAAUAGUAGCAACAACAGUAGCAACAACAGUAGCAGCAACAGUAGCAACAAUAAUAAGGAACUUUUUUUUUUACUGCUGUUACUAAUAUUAAUUAAAGAUGAUUUUUUUUUUAAAAAAAAAAACCAUAAAACAACAACCUGUUUUUACCAAAAAAAAAAUAAAACUAGUAUGGCCGUUAUCAAAGAAAAUAUAGAUAAUUUGUAUGAUUAUUAUCAAUAUUUUACAAAAAAAAAUAUAUUUUUUGAAAACAUCGGAUUAUAUUAUUUACUUAAAGUAAAAAACAACAACAGUAAUUAUUAUUUUUUAUUAAUUGUAAUUAUAUUUCAUCACUUUUUUGAUAAACUUUUUUUUUUAGAAAAUGUAUUAAUCAAAUCACGACAAGAAAAAAAAAAUAUAAAGGAAAACAAUUUGUUAGUACAGCUUUUUUUUUUUAAAAAUACUAAUAUAUUUAUAAGAAAAAGGUUAUUUUCAAAUAGUUUCUU